Wasmannia auropunctata (little fire ant) is the source of this 1101-nucleotide RNA transcript. RefSeq lists it as uncharacterized. The transcript has 5 exons. The record is from RefSeq and is a predicted model, not a curated record. Lineage: Eukaryota; Metazoa; Arthropoda; Insecta; Hymenoptera; Formicidae.
UUAGUGGAAAACGGCGUAAUUCCUACGAUCAAUUCACAAAAUUAGCGAACACCGCGCGAUAAGUCAGUUCGCACAAUAGGCGAACGUAUUGACAGCUAUUGAUAUCCGGGGCGAUAAUAUUAGCCAUUAGUCUCUCGAUGCUGGAAUUCGAAUGUAUACCUAUAUCUCUCGUAUCACGCUCGUUCAAUUCUUCGAUCGAUAAUUCACUUUUAUUUUGGCUCCUAUUAUAAUUCGCUCGCUAUAUUUUUAUGACGCGCGACUCUCGCCGGAUGUAAGUAACGGAAAAAUAUAUCAAUUCUUUAUUAAUUUAUUUCGGGAUUUUUACGUUCGAUGUAUGUACAUUGCGCGUGUGUGCAAUACCGAAUUUAGAUUAUACAUUUUCGAGCAGACCGGCGGCGCUUUAAUUAAUAAUUGGACGUCAUAUAGAAUCUCUCGUAUCGCACGUUAUAAGAUUGAGUCUAUUAAUGCUCGAGGCUCGGCAAUUAAAUUCGGGAGUGCCGUGCGAAUCGCGCGAUCGUCUUCCGAUCGUACUCCGCUAAUUAAUUCGUGCGCGAUUGUAAUUAACGCGCGUUUUCGCGAGUGUUGUAUUUGUGUGAAUGCGGCGAACCUGACAAUUCUGGCAACCUGAGAGGAGGAGGGAAAAGCCUGGGAGGCAUCGGGCGACGGCGGAAUAAUCAUGAGUUUCUGCUGUUGCGCAUCGAUCGGUGAUUAAUAUUGGGAAUGCCAUAUGAGCCAUAUCGCGCGAGCAUCAUAUUCAUCGGUAAUUAGUUCGCGAUACGUUCACACUAACACGUUUUGCUAGUGUUCGGCCGUGUGAAUGCAACCGAAAGGACCUUGAUAGAAGGCCUGGGAGGCCUUGGGCGACGACGGAACGAUCAUGAGGUUACAGCGGCCCAUUUCUCAUGCGUCUGGCCGAGCAUGGAGAGGAACGAACCCGAGCGAAUCGGUGAAUGAAAUGAGUUUCGGUCGCGCUAAGAUCAUUUUCUACGAGAUGUACCUGAUCCACGGGUUCCCUAUAUAUAACAAAUUUGCAUAUAAACCUCGAUAAUUCUUGUAAUGUAACCUGCUAAUUUUUCAUCAAUAAAAAUUGCUUUUUCAGUA